CAUUUGUGAGCACAAAAGAGAAGAUGUGGGCAUUCAGGAAGCCUUUUCAGAAAAGGGCGCCUCAGGCAUUCUGGCUGGAGAUUCUCCUGAGGUCCGGAAGCUGAGAGCCUCCUACUUCGUGAUUCUCAAAGCACAGACACUGGACCUGUUGCAGCAACACCACCUGGAAAUGAGCUGGAAGUGAAAUUCCCUAGCCCCACCCCAGAUGUAAUGAAGGAGAAUUUGUUGGGGGAGGGUGUGAACAGCAGCGAUCUGUUUUUAACCAGCCCUCUGAGGGAUUCUGGUGCCAUCAAUUUGGAUAACCACUGCUUUAACCAGUAGCUUUUCCUGUUGGAAAUCCCAGGCCCCUACUCCUUCCCUUCAGUCAAACCCUGUACACAGCUCUACCAUGGCACUCAUUACCCUACCUUUAAA
Long non-coding RNA from Manis javanica (Malayan pangolin), 414 nucleotides. RefSeq lists it as uncharacterized. The record is from RefSeq and is a predicted model, not a curated record. Lineage: Eukaryota; Metazoa; Chordata; Mammalia; Pholidota; Manidae.